Molecule: transfer RNA, 63 nt
Filed under: Glandirana rugosa (Japanese wrinkled frog)
Lineage: Eukaryota; Metazoa; Chordata; Amphibia; Anura; Ranidae
Description: tRNA-Cys
Source: RNAcentral
GGCCCUGGGGUGUAACACGUGAGGUUGCAAACCUUAAAAUGCAGGGUAGUACCUGCCGGGGCU